Molecule: long non-coding RNA, 750 nt
Organism: Daphnia magna
Lineage: Eukaryota; Metazoa; Arthropoda; Branchiopoda; Diplostraca; Daphniidae
Exons: 2
Source: RefSeq, a predicted model, not a curated record
AGACGGGAGGAGGCGCGUGUGUAGGGACAACGGGUACAUAUAGUAAUACUUGGAUAUCGAGCAUGCGUGUAUCUGUCUUCUUUACUGAGGCAAGCGACUCAAAAGAGGCCGACGUGCGUUUACCCUUCAGUUGCGUCAUUGCCAACAGACUACAGGUUACGUCAAGCAGUUUGUAGAGAAAAUAGUAGGUGGAACAACAAGUUGCUACGCUCGACAGGUUGGGUUAACCAUCUCUCCAAACGGGAAAGGCGUGAGCUACAACUGUUACAAGUUGUCCUUUUUUUGUUGACCAAAACUGUGAGAGAGGAGUGACGUUAGGUGGAGCGUGAAAAAAGUGCCGUUGACGACAAAGGCUGCUGCCGUUUCCACUCUCCAUUGUUGUAGGCCUCACAGAAUCUGUACUACAUUGUAACACAAUUUUUUGUUUUCAGCAUCCACAUAUUGGUGGUGCUGUUUUGGCAACACAAAAUAACGAGGGAUAAUAAUAGAUAUCCCGUUUUGAGGUCAUUGCUCUCGAAAAUCUUCACGGAUUCGGUUAUUGGUUGAUAUCAGACGACGAAGCCUGUUCAUUUUUAGUUUCGUUCAUCGAUUAAUGCCAAAUUUUCAUGUUCAUGAGAAAAUUAGAAAAAAAAAAAAAAUAAAAAUUGCAAAAACUUAUGCUCACGUGAAUGGGCCGUGACCUAAAGGGUAUGUGUAGUGUAUGACACGCAAGUGGCACGUUGCCCACUAAAUUUUCCAACCUUUUCUCUG